GACGAACGCUGGCGGCGUGCUUAACACAUGCAAGUCGAACGGAAAGGCCCUGCUUUUGUGGGGUGCUCGAGUGGCGAACGGGUGAGUAACACGUGAGUAACCUGCCCUUGACUUUGGGAUAACUUCAGGAAACUGGGGCUAAUACCGGAUAGGAGCUCCUGCUGCAUGGUGGGGGUUGGAAAGUUUCGGCGGUUGGGGAUGGACUCGCGGCUUAUCAGCUUGUUGGUGGGGUAGUGGCUUACCAAGGCUUUGACGGGUAGCCGGCCUGAGAGGGUUACCGGCCACAUUGGGACUGAGAUACGGCCCAGACUCCUACGGGAGGCAGCAGUGGGGAAUAUUGCACAAUGGGCGGAAGCCUGAUGCAGCAACGCCGCGUGCGGGAUGACGGCCUUGGGGUUGUAAACCGCUUUCGCCUGUGACGAAGCGUGAGUGACGGUAAUGGGUAAAGAAGCACCGGCUAACUACGUG
This 468-nucleotide ribosomal RNA is filed under the name uncultured bacterium. RNAcentral describes it as "partial 16S ribosomal RNA". It matches the Rfam family "Bacterial small subunit ribosomal RNA", at positions 28 to 507 of the family's 1533-position model. The record is from RNAcentral.